Long non-coding RNA from Oncorhynchus keta (chum salmon), 761 nucleotides. RefSeq lists it as uncharacterized. Lineage: Eukaryota; Metazoa; Chordata; Actinopteri; Salmoniformes; Salmonidae. The record is from RefSeq and is a predicted model, not a curated record. The transcript has 4 exons.
UGGGUGGAUGAGUUGAAUGUGUGGUCCUCCCAGACAGAGACCAGAGGCAGUCAGAGAAACUGUUAUCUUGAAGGGGGAGAUCUACCUUGGCAUCUGGCAAGCCUGGAACAGGCCAUUUACCUAGCCCUGCCCACCUGGAUAAACACAGCGUUGCUAUGCAACAUCAUGGAGUUGCUGUGGACUCAUCCCCUACUCCGUGUGAUGUCAUACCUGCUCCUCCCCUUCACCGCGCUACUCAGCUUCCUGAUUGAAAAUACACACAGGAUGGGAGUUUUAGGGUUCUGGCUGUGGCAGGAUCUACGCCAGAUCAGCUUCUAUUUCAUGGACAUCCUGGUCUCCAGCCUCCGCAGAAACCUACAGAUCAGACUCCAUCACAAUCUUACUCCGCUUGGAUCUGGAGCGAGAGAAGGAGGCGGAGACGGCCCCCACCAUACCUCUCUAUCCUGGGCUGAAAGAGGGGAGGAUGAAGAAAGAGAGACCUUGCUUGACCCCCCCCGGCACCCCAUCCUAAUAAAACAGACCUUGGUUGACCCCCCCGGGACCCCAAUCUAAUAAAACAGACCUUGGUUGACCCCUCCGGCACCCCAUCCUAAUAAGACAGACCUUGGUUGACCCCCCUAGCUCCCCAUCCUAAUAAAACAGACCUUGGUUGACCCCCUAGCCUCCCAUCUUAAUAAAACAGACCUUGGUUGACCCCACUAGCACCCCAUCCUAAUAAAACAGACCUUGGUUGACCCCCCUAGCACCCCAUCCUAAUAAAA